GAUGAACGCUGGCGGCGUGCCUAAUACAUGCAAGUCGAGCGAACAGACGAGGAGCUUGCUCCUCUGACGUUAGCGGCGGACGGGUGAGUAACACGUGGAUAACCUACCUAUAAGACUGGGAUAACUUCGGGAAACCGGAGCUAAUACCGGAUAAUAUAUUGAACCGCAUGGUUCAAUAGUGAAAGACGGUUUUGCUGUCACUUAUAGAUGGAUCCGCGCCGCAUUAGCUAGUUGGUAAGGUAACGGCUUACCAAGGCGACGAUGCGUAGCCGACCUGAGAGGGUGAGAGGCCACACUGGAACUGAGACACGGUCCAGACUCCUACGGGAGGCAGCAGUAGGGAAUCUUCCGCAAUGGGCGAAAGCCUGACGGAGCAACGCCGCGUGAGUGAUGAAGGUCUUCGGAUCGUAAAACUCUGUUAUUAGGGAAGAACAAAUGUGUAAGUAACUAUGCACGUCUUGACGGUACCUAAUCAGAAAGCCACGGCUAACUACGUG
Molecule: ribosomal RNA, 497 nt
Filed under: uncultured bacterium
Lineage: Bacteria
Description: partial 16S ribosomal RNA
Rfam family: Bacterial small subunit ribosomal RNA
Source: RNAcentral